This 22-nucleotide non-coding RNA is filed under the name Arabidopsis thaliana (thale cress). The record is from RNAcentral. Lineage: Eukaryota; Viridiplantae; Streptophyta; Magnoliopsida; Brassicales; Brassicaceae.
CACUAAUGCACCGGAUCCCAUC